Molecule: long non-coding RNA, 727 nt
Organism: Cottoperca gobio
Lineage: Eukaryota; Metazoa; Chordata; Actinopteri; Perciformes; Bovichtidae
Exons: 4
Source: RefSeq, a predicted model, not a curated record
GUGGUUGGUAGACAAGCUCACCUUGUCGGUUGUGUCUUCUGGAUCCAACCCAAGAUCACGAUUUGCAAGACUGAGACAUGGUCUGCACAGAAUGAAGAAAACACAGAGUAAAAAAACAGCAUGUGUGUAGUAAAGCCUAGAAAGAGCAUAAUACUUGCUCACCUCACCAUCUGCAAUGUGUGAAACUGCGCCUUCAGCUCUGUAUAUGGUGCUGUCACUGUCUGGGCCUGAUGAGAUCCGUGCGCCCCCCCCCAAGACAAUGGCAGGGGAAACACUGAACGUGCAGAGACUAAAGAAGAAAUUGAGUAGGAGCAGUCAAAAUGAAAAAGUGUCCGUGUCAGAAAACUGAAGGAGGCCACUUCCCCACCGGCACUUUCGGAGAAGAAGAAUAAAAGGUGUAAAAUAAAUAAAGUUGUAAAAUCUACCAUGAAGUUGUGGAUGCUGGAGGCUAAGGUUCAAUCAUGUCCGUCGACUUCCAUAUAGUUUAGAUCUCGGACGCCAAUCAAGCAGAAGUUGUGGGAGAGACUGGAUCAUCCCGUGUUCAGCGGCAGACUGCUGUCCCUGUCCUGCUCCACAGACAGGCUCAAGAACUCUUUUGUCCCCCUGGCCAUAAGACUGUACAACACCUCUUGGUGAUGGCAGGGGGAUUCCAACAUUCCAAACAUUUCAUACACUUCAAACCAUUAAACAAAAACAGUGGUCAAUGUUGCAGUGGAUGUGGAAUAAC